RNAcentral lists this ribosomal RNA (116 nucleotides) under Nectria austroradicicola. RNAcentral's name for it is "partial 5.8S ribosomal RNA". It matches the Rfam family "5.8S ribosomal RNA", at positions 42 to 154 of the family's 154-position model. From Rfam's summary of the family: 5.8S ribosomal RNA (5.8S rRNA) is a component of the large subunit of the eukaryotic ribosome. It is transcribed by RNA polymerase I as part of the 45S precursor that also contains 18S and 28S rRNA. Functionally, it is thought that 5.8S rRNA may be involved in ribosome translocation. Lineage: Eukaryota; Fungi; Ascomycota; Sordariomycetes; Hypocreales; Nectriaceae. The record is from RNAcentral.
AACGCAGCGAAAUGCGAUAAGUAAUGUGAAUUGCAGAAUUCAGUGAAUCAUCGAAUCUUUGAACGCACAUUGCGCCCGCUAGUAUUCUGGCGGGCAUGCCUGUUCGAGCGUCAUUU